GAGGCAGCAGAAUCCGAAGUUCAGGGUGAUCCACAGCUGUAUAGUGAGUUCAAAGCCAGCCGGGGAUAUGUGAAAUCAAAUCACUUCCUGGUGUGCUCCGUAAUAACCGGCAGCUGUCCUGUCAGCCCUGCUGGAAAAUGAGAUAAUAAGGCAGGCAAACGAUGGCCUUUAUGCUGGAAUCCACCACUUCCUGCAGUUUGCUUCUCAGAUGCUUUGGGGAACAAGGAUCCGGGCAAUUUUCACACCAUUUCUUCUUCCAAAAAAAAAGUUUGUCCAAAUUCUUGGUGAAUGUCAUUUCCCUUUGGGACAUUUGGUGGAAAAAGAGGCAGCCCUGCUUCACUGCACCAGGACAGAAGGCUUCCAAAAAGCCUCUCAAUGGGGUCUGUGAAGGGAAAUCCCCACUCAAAAGGAGACAGAGGUGAUCAGGACUGUCACUAGGGCCUGGAGCGAUGGGUUUGGCUCUGAGGAAGAGGGCUGCUGGGGACCAUUCUGUCAGCAGGCCUUUCUGGGAGCUGCAGGAAGAGCAACAGUGUCUUGCAACGCUAGGAAACAGGCUGUCUGGUGGUCUCCUGGCUGGGAAAUUGCAACUGUUAAAAGGGUCAUCUUACCAAGAGAGCCCAGGUCGUGGGCAGGUUGCAUGCUUUGGGGUUCCUGGAAAUCCAAAGUGGGCCUUUCUCUGACUUCUUGAAACAAAAGAGGAAGUUGAGGCUCAUACUGGAUUUCUAUUAUUAUUCUCAGAUCAGCAAAUUCAAGAUCAGCAAAUUGAGGCUCAGACAGGUUGAAUAGCUUGUCCAAAGUAAGGAGCCAGAGAAUGAAAGGAAUUACGGGGUUCAAAAGUCUGGUUUCAAAUACUCUGUACCCCUUCUAGCAAUAGAUGAUCUAUUCUGCCCAAAAUUUCUAGAUACACAUCAGCCAAUACAAAAGACAGUAGCCACCUGUAACUAUUUAAGUUGGCAUCUAAAUUAGUUAAAAUUAAGACAGACAUGGUGUCCUCCUGUGAUGCCUUAAAUUCUCCUCAAUCCUUCUGUCUGUGUCUCCCAGGUAGUGAAAUUUCAGGCUAGUCACCAUCCUAGCCUAGUAAAUUUAACUAGCCAAGUAAAUUUAACUUUUGGAACUCAGAUAAUAAAGACAAAGUAAAGUUCUAUCAGAAAAGAGAUUUCUGAUGCAGGGGAUUGAAAACAAGAAAGCCAUUCAGCAGUGCACGGAG
This 1207-nucleotide long non-coding RNA is filed under the name Cricetulus griseus (Chinese hamster). Its description in RNAcentral is "lncRNA (ENSCGRG00015043122.1)". The record is from RNAcentral. Lineage: Eukaryota; Metazoa; Chordata; Mammalia; Rodentia; Cricetidae.